UUUAUCACAGCACUUGACGUCACACAUCACCACUACACAGAGAUCACUUUUUUUCGAAUUUGAAUUGGUUUAGUUAACUCGCUUUGCCAAAACACAACAAAUAUGGAUACAGACAAAGGUGGAACACAGACAAGAAAAAGAGAAAUCAGUCAUUGGGAAAUAUUGCAGGAAUAGGCCUAACCAUGGAGCGCUAGCCGGCUGGCCUUCCUUCAUAUUGACCACGUGCGUGGGUGCGUUGGCACACGUGCACGUUGAGUGACAUUAUAGUUAUACAAUGGAGGUAGGAAAAGUGAGCGCAUGGGGGUCGCUUUAAUCCGUUUAUUUUCGCGACUUUGUGUAUCAUCAAGACAACACGUAAGAUAUUAGUCUCUAAGGAAUCGCUGGCACACCUACGUGAUAACUGAUAUGGAUUUUUCAGCAACGAGGUCUGGCAAUGAUGCAUUAGGAAAGUCAAGGCUAGUGGACUAUACCUCCGUGUACGUGGCCCUACUCCUAAACUAGAAGCAAGUGGAGGAUGGCUUAACAUUGGGAUAAAGUUCCCCGGCCGUGAACGGUAUCAGCCACAUACAGAUCUUCACCGGCAGUGAACAUGUACAGCUCCAGACACCAGCAGUUGCGAUGAUCUCAUCUAAGAACGUUAAUUUACUGCACACCACAUUAGCUUGCUAUUUUUCCAGGUCUGUCUCUUAAUCAAAUGCACCCUAUAUACCUGCAUUGCAUUGGCACACUUUGAUGCUGGACCCCACACAUGCAUACACACCUGGCAUCUGGCAAUCAGAUCAAGCCCCUUAUUGUCAUAAUAUCUGCUCUUGGAACAUUGAUGAAGGUCCAAGCAAGACGGCCAGAUUGUGGAAUCAAAGAGGGCCAGCAGUCUACAACCUUUAGAAAAGGAGUUUUAGAUAAUGGGCACUUGUUGGCAAGAGCAGAGAUGGUAGAGAGUGGAAGAAACAUGUGCAGUCCAUCCAGGAGAAGUCUGUCUUCUGCAGUGACUGGAAGUUGUCCUUUCAAGUAUUGAAGAUGUUGAGGCCAUACAUUGGUGUCACAGACACAUGCACAAAGAUCUCCGUUGUGUUUGCUGCAUCAGAGGCACCGCCGUAAAAUGCUGACCAACCAUAGAGGGCGCUAUUACCAUUUCAUGAAGCUUACUGCAAUCACACAAAGAGGAGAAACAGAACUGAAUGCUGCCUUAAUUGCACAACGGUAAUGGAAAGAGGACAAAAAGGACUGAAUGCUGCCUGAAUUCCCUUAUUUACAUCACAGCAGUAGCCCCCCACUCAUCCAGACAAGCUUGCGUUUAUAGCAAGAUAAAGAAAAUUGUGAAAUAUAUUCUCUAAAUUGAAAAAUCCAGAGGACCUGAGAA
This 1360-nucleotide long non-coding RNA is filed under the name Acanthaster planci (crown-of-thorns starfish). RNAcentral describes it as "uncharacterized LOC110983468, transcript variant X4". The record is from RNAcentral. Lineage: Eukaryota; Metazoa; Echinodermata; Asteroidea; Valvatida; Acanthasteridae.